CCGUAGCAGCCGAAGCGUCGUCACGCGUUGUCAGGAGCGGCAUCGAUGGUAGCGCGUAGAUCCCGGCGAAGAAAAAAACAAAGCCAGCGAGGCGGGAGAGAGGGAAAUAAAUACAUUGCGGCUUUCAAUCAGUCACCACGGCGGUUCAUCCGUCGCAGUACUCAUUCAACUUCCAACCACGAAGGGUAGGAGUUAUACAUGGC
Molecule: unclassified non-coding RNA, 203 nt
Filed under: Athalia rosae (coleseed sawfly)
Lineage: Eukaryota; Metazoa; Arthropoda; Insecta; Hymenoptera; Athaliidae
Description: misc RNA ENSAEAG00005011019.1
Source: RNAcentral